Molecule: ribosomal RNA, 535 nt
Filed under: Urceolella carestiana
Lineage: Eukaryota; Fungi; Ascomycota; Leotiomycetes; Helotiales
Description: eukaryotic LSU rRNA
Rfam family: 5.8S ribosomal RNA (bases 177-330)
Source: RNAcentral
AACCUGCGGAAGGAUCAUUACAGAGUUCAUGCCCUCACGGGUAGAUCUCCCACCCUUGAAUAUAUACUUUGUUGCUUUGGCGGGCCGCUUCGGCUGCUGACUUCGGUUAGUGAGUGCCCGCCAGAGAACCCUAAACUCUGAAUUAAAGUGUCGUCUGAGUACUAUAUAAUAGUUAAAACUUUCAACAACGGAUCUCUUGGUUCUGGCAUCGAUGAAGAACGCAGCGAAAUGCGAUAAGUAAUGUGAAUUGCAGAAUUCAGUGAAUCAUCGAAUCUUUGAACGCACAUUGCGCCCCUUGGUAUUCCGGGGGGCAUGCCUGUUCGAGCGUCAUUAUAACCCUCAAGCUCAGCUUGGUGUUGGGGCCUGCCUUCGGGCAGCCCUUAAAAUCAGUGGCGGUGCCGUCUGGCUCUAAGCGUAGUAAUUUCUCUCGCUAUAGCGUCUGGCGGUGUCUUGCCAACAACCCCCAAUUUUCUAUGGUUGACCUCGGAUCAGGUAGGGAUACCCGCUGAACUUAAGCAUAUCAAUAAGCGGAGGA